This 394-nucleotide ribosomal RNA is filed under the name uncultured bacterium. RNAcentral's name for it is "bacterial SSU rRNA". It matches the Rfam family "Bacterial small subunit ribosomal RNA", at positions 355 to 765 of the family's 1533-position model. The record is from RNAcentral.
UGAGGAAUAUUGCCCAAUGGACGCAAGUCUGAGGCAGCAACGCCGCGUGGGCGAUGAAGGCCUUCGGGUUGUAAAGCCCUUUUCUGGGGGAAGAGGAAGGACGGUACCUCAGGAAUAAGUCACGGCUAACUACGUGCCAGCAGCCGCGGUAAUACGUAGGUGGCAAGCGUUAUCCGGAUUCACUGGGCGUAAAGCGCGUGCAGGCGGUUUCGUAAGUCGGACGUGAAAGCUCCUGGCUUAACUGGGAGAGGUCGUUCGAUACUGCGGGGCUUGAGGUCGGGAGAGGGACGUGGAAUUCCCGGUGUAGUGGUGGAAUGCGUAGAUAUCGGGAGGAACACCAGUGGCGAAGGCGACGUCCUGGCCCGCACCUGACGCUGAGACGCGAAAGCGUGGG